Molecule: ribosomal RNA, 312 nt
Filed under: Acanthamoeba sp. AM-2015a
Lineage: Eukaryota; Discosea; Longamoebia; Acanthamoebidae
Description: SSU rRNA
Rfam family: Eukaryotic small subunit ribosomal RNA
Source: RNAcentral
UGGAAUAGGACCCUGUCCUCCUAUUUUCAGUUGGUUUUGGCAGCGCGAGGACUAGGGUAAUGAUUAAUAGGGAUAGUUGGGGGCAUUAAUAUUUAAUUGUCAGAGGUGAAAUUCUUGGAUUUAUGAAAGAUUAACUUCUGCGAAAGCAUCUGCCAAGGAUGUUUUCAUUAAUCAAGAACGAAAGUUAGGGGAUCGAAGACGAUCAGAUACCGUCGUAGUCUUAACCAUAAACGAUGCCGACCAGCGAUUAGGAGACGUUGAAUACAAAACACCACCAUCGGCGCGGUCGUCCUUGGCGUCGGUCCUUCGGGG